Oncorhynchus tshawytscha (Chinook salmon) is the source of this 3366-nucleotide long non-coding RNA. The record is from Ensembl. NCBI's taxonomy places the organism in Eukaryota, Metazoa, Chordata, Actinopteri, Salmoniformes, Salmonidae.
CAAGGAGAGGAAGAAAGGCCCUGAGUGGCUGCUGUAGUUUCCUGUGUGUCAGACUUCCAGUAAUGAUUAGUGUCACUUUUACCUCCCCAUGCCGUCACAGUGUGUGUCAACACGCUUUCUUCUGACACUUAACGGCAUCAAGACCAAACCAAGGAGUAUAAUCAGCGAAACACAAGAGGUUUGCAAUGGUGCAAUGUCUGGUGUUCACACUGCUCUGGGUCUGUGCUGUGGCACUGCUUUCCCUUGGGAGUACAGAGAGAGUAUCUCAAACGACUGAGCCAAGUGUCUCUAGGAGCACAGACCCGACGGCUGAGACAGUUACUUUAGGACCAGUUGAGACCCAAAGCCCUGGUACACACACAGACCAGAGCAUAGAAGAAGAACAAGAACCACUUCCCUCAGACCCCUGUCAGGAUGACGAGUUGGAUAAGAGGGUGUACCAGAGGGAUUCUCAUGGUGUUAUGCAGCUGGUUCAGGGAGAGGACUACAAAAACACUUGCAACCUAUCAGACACUCCAGGUGAACAGGCCCACUGUCUUAUCUACCCUACCAAUCAACUCAACUGCUCCUGGAAUUUCCAUGGUCUCCCUAACGACAGCCAAUCCUACGCCUCCGUCUUUGUGUGUAAGAAAACUGAGAGAAUCUCCAGUGUGGACUGUGUCACUGAGGCCACAGGAGGCCAAGGAGCCCAGGGAGGGACUGGAAAGGCUGACCGUGUGGUUGGAAAUGUGUCUGCUGGGUGCCAAGGCAGUGUGGACAACAGCGCCACCUCGGUGAUCCUGACUUUCAACGUGUCAUGCUCUGACGUGUGGGGCAUCUACACCCAUAAAUACCAGACCAAAGAUAUUGAUGUGCUGCGCCCGCCCCCCGACAUCAACCUAGCCUGGGUCAGAGAGGGGGUUCUGCUGGUGCAGUGGGGUCUCCCAUCCAGCCGGUCACGCAACAAAUCCAGCUGCUUCCACUACCAGCUACAGAUCAAUGACCAGGUGAGGAACUUUACGGGUUUACUGACAUACAAUGAGACCAACGCAGACCCUACACAUUCACACAAUGUGAAGAUGAGGGUGAGGAAGAGUAAAACCUGCAGAGGAUCUCAACACUGGAGCAGCUGGAGCAACACCACCAAGGUGGCCCCGUUUAAAUUUCCCAAUCAGCUGAACUCUCUGGUGGUCGUUGGCAUCGCUCUGGGAAUACCCAUGAUCCUCCUGUCUCUGCUGCUGCUGAUUCGACUCCAGAGGGAACGUCUGUUUCCCCACAUCCCUGGUCCCCCACUGAAGAUUAAACACCUCUUGGAGAGAGACGACCAGUUUCAGUUUGUCCCUCAGGCCCUGCAGCCCAAAUUUGUUGAGGAGAUCACAGUGGUGGAGGAAGCUAAGGAAACACCUGUGAAUUUGGCCAGUUAAACAAGAUGGCCUGUUUAAAGCCCAAUCAUCCUAAUCCCCUAGACUGUGUAAGGGCCGAUCUGUAAGGAGGAUCCCCUUAGCAGAUGCAGUCAUUACCAUUUGUUAAUACCUAUCCAAUCCUUUCAAGAGUGGAUGCUACUUAUUGACAUGCAUUGUUCUUACAUGCUUAUUAGUGUCUACUCAAUUAAUUGUUGUAAUGUGCUCAGCUUCUACCAGUGUUGUAGUUCUCAAGACCGAGACCAGUCCAGUCUUGAGACCACAUAUGGGUCUUGUCUUGGUGUCAGCUACAUUCGUACUUGGUCGUGACUCAGUCUCAGACAGUGAGGACUCGUAAUUUCUUCCCUAGACCAGUGGAGUAAAAACACUCAAACAUAUACACUCCCAUCUUGAAACAUUAUCUUAACAACCGUUAUCUAUUAUAGACAUGGUUACGCAGUGGUGAACCUAUAGGUCUUCAGUAUGUGACAGGUUAGUACAGUGGUGAACCUAUAGGUCUUCAGUGUGUGACAGGUUAGUACAGUGGUGAACCUAUAGGUCUUCAGUGGUGAACCUAUAGGUCUUCAGUGUGUAACAGGUUAGUACAGUGGUGAACCUAUAGGUCUUCAGUGUGUGACAGGUUAGUACAGUGGUGAACCUAUAGGUCUUCAGUGUGUAACAGGUUAGUACAGUGGUGAACCUAUAGGCCUUCAGUAUGUGACAGGUUAGUACAGUGGUGAACCUAUAGGCCUUCAGUGUGUGACAGGUUAGCACAGUGGUGAACCUAUAGGCAUUCAGUGUGUGACAGGUUAGUACAGUGGUGAACCUAUAGGUCUUCAGUGUGACAGGUUAGUACAGUGGUGAACCUAUAGGUCUUCAGUGUGACAGGUUAGUACAGUGGUGAACCUAUAGGCCUUCAGUGUGUGACAGGUUAGUACAGUGGUGAACCUAUAGGCCUUCAGUGUGUGAUAGGUUAGUACAGUGGUGAACCUAUAGGCCUUCAGUGUGUGACAGGUUAGUACAGUGGUGAACCUAUAGGUCUUCAGUAUGUAACUGGUUAGUACAGUGGUGAACCUAUAGGUCUUCAGUGUGUGACAGGUUAGUACAGUGGUGAACCUAUAGGCCUUCAGUGUGUGACAGGUUAGUACAGUGGUGAACCUAUAGGCCUUCAGUGUGUGACAGGUUGGUGAUUCUGAAAGGACAGCAACCGUAAUACCAGACACUCAUGUAGGAGAGUGCACUUUUUGUAAAACACAAAGGGACAGUGGUGUAGUGGAGGUAUUUUUUCAGUGGGAAUUGCCUAUACUCACUUAAUCCUAUUGAUGCGUAUCAAAGUAGUGUAGUGGAGUAUACGCAGGUAUUUUUUCAGUGGGCAUUGCCUAUACUCACUUAAUCCUAUUGAUGCGUAUCAAAGUAGUGUAGUGGAGGCAGUGGCGACCCAUCAUUAAGGGCAGUUCUUCAGUCCCACCUGUUUAGCAGGGGGUGUGCCUGUUUUGCAUGUUAUUUUGUCAUUAAUAUGUGUCACAUAUCAGUUUGAAAAAAAUGAAUGAGUUAAUAAAGCUUCAUACAAACAUGGUAUUUAUUUUCUUUCUUGAGUGAGGGAGCUCCAAAAUGCAGAUGUUUCCACUUAGUUCAGUGCUUUCUGUGGUGGGGCAGCCAGCGGAAAAUACUGAGCGUAGGAGUUGGUAAAGUUCUCUUGUUGCGCCUUGAAAGUAUGACUCAGUGUUCUGUCACUCAUGGGGACACUACGUCACGGCAAAAUUCAAGCCCCUUGGGUGCUGCCAUAGAGUUACAUUAGAAGUGCCCAUCCAAUAAGGCUCAAGGUCAUUGGCCACAGAUAAAAUGAUGUCAAAUCAUGUUAUAUCUACCAUAGCUUUGAUUGGAUGGAUCAUGUCAACAUCAUACUUUCUAAAUCUUAGCUAGUAAGCUAGCAGUCAUGAUCAUGAAUCUAGUUAGCAAUCUACAGGCAAAUCCUUUUCAAUCCUUG